Molecule: ribosomal RNA, 359 nt
Filed under: uncultured Pseudomonas sp.
Lineage: Bacteria; Pseudomonadati; Pseudomonadota; Gammaproteobacteria; Pseudomonadales; Pseudomonadaceae
Description: bacterial SSU rRNA
Rfam family: Bacterial small subunit ribosomal RNA
Source: RNAcentral
AACGUCUGACACAGGUGCUGCAUGGCUGUCGUCAGCUCGUGUCGUGAGAUGUUGGGUUAAGUCCGUAACGAGCGCAACCUGUCCUUAGUUACCAGCACGUUAUGGUGGGCACUCUAAGGAGAACUGCCGGUGGACAAACCGGAGGAAGGUGGGGAGUGACGUCAAGUCAUCAUGGCCCUUACGGCCUGGGCUACACACGUGCUACAAUGGUCGGUACAAAGGGUUGCCAAGCCGCGAGGUGGAGCUAAUCCCAUAAAACCGAUCGUAGUCCGGAUCGCAGUCUGCAACUCGACUGCGUGAAGUCGGAAUCGCUAGUAAUCGUGAAUCAGAAUGUCACGGUGAAUACGUUCCCGGGCCUU